This 77-nucleotide transfer RNA is filed under the name Nitrososphaerota archaeon. Its description in RNAcentral is "tRNA-Tyr". It matches the Rfam family "tRNA". Rfam says of the family: Transfer RNA (tRNA) molecules are approximately 80 nucleotides in length. The record is from RNAcentral. RNAcentral also lists the same sequence under 2 other names. Lineage: Archaea; Thermoproteati; Nitrososphaerota.
CCCGGCGUAGCUCAGCCUGGUAGAGCGUCCGGCUGUAGACCGGAGGGCCGCAGGUUCAAAUCCUGCCGCCGGGACCA